UCAGGAUGAACGCUGGCGGCGUGCUUAACACAUGCAAGUCGAACGAAGCGCAUUGUUUGAAUUCUUCGGAAGGAAGAUAAUGUGACUGAGUGGCGGACGGGUGAGUAACGCGUGGGUAACCUGCCAUGUACAGGGGGACAACAGUUGGAAACGGCUGCUAAUACCGCAUAAGCGCACGAGAUUGCAUGAUCUAGUGUGAAAAACUCCGGUGGUAUAUGAUGGACCCGCGUCUGAUUAGCUAGUUGGUAAGGUAACGGCUUACCAAGGCGACGAUCAGUAGCCGACCUGAGAGGGUGACCGGCCACAUUGGGACUGAGACACGGCCCAGACUCCUACGGGAGGCAGCAGUGGGGAAUAUUGCACAAUGGGCGAAAGCCUGAUGCAGCGACGCCGCGUGAACGAAGAAGUAUUUCGGUAUGUAAAGUUCUAUCAGCAGGGAAGAAGAAAUGACGGUACCUGACUAAGAAGCCCCGGCUAACUACGUGCCAGCAGCCGCGGUAAUACGUAGGGGGCAAGCGUUAUCCGGAUUUACUGGGUGUAAAGGGAGCGCAGGCGGCCCGGCAAGUCUGAUGUGAAAACCCAAGGCUCAACCAUGGGAUUGCAUUGGAAACUGUCGAGCUAGAGUAUCGGAGGGGUAAGUGGAAUUCCUAGUGUAGCGGUGAAAUGCGUAGAUAUUAGGAGGAACACCAGUGGCGAAGGCGGCUUACUGGACG
Molecule: ribosomal RNA, 713 nt
Filed under: Lachnobacterium sp. RM73
Lineage: Bacteria; Bacillati; Bacillota; Clostridia; Lachnospirales; Lachnospiraceae
Description: bacterial SSU rRNA
Rfam family: Bacterial small subunit ribosomal RNA
Source: RNAcentral